Molecule: transfer RNA, 82 nt
Filed under: Daphnia galeata
Lineage: Eukaryota; Metazoa; Arthropoda; Branchiopoda; Diplostraca; Daphniidae
Rfam family: tRNA
About the family: Transfer RNA (tRNA) molecules are approximately 80 nucleotides in length. Their secondary structure includes four short double-helical elements and three loops (D, anti-codon, and T loops).
Source: Rfam by way of RNAcentral
GCAGAAAUGGCCAAGUGGUUAAGGCGACUGACUAGAAAUCAGUUUCUCUCUAGGAGUGUAGUUUCGAAUCCUACCAUCUGUG